AAUUCAACACUGAUUUCCAGCGAACGAGCAAGCGACAGACGGGAUGCCAAAAAACUGAUGCGGGUAUCGUCAUUGGGACUGUUGGAGUGGUUACGCUCUGAAUAACAUUGAGAUACGAGGAACAAACGCACGCUGGGAGAGGCCGCCAACAAGCCGAAAAGCUGCGAGCGUUCUCCCCAUCAACUUCCCCAGGGCUGCCCAUGCAGCCUAGAUAGUUAGUGGCAGUAUUGUUCUGACUUCACUCAAGAGUGGCCACUCCGAGAGAGGACGCACACAAAAGGGAAAGGAAAGGAAGGAAGGACUAACGAACACGCUUGUUGUUGAAAGUAAUGGUCCAGCGAUACCAAUACUAGAUCCAAGAAUUAUUUCACUCUUUUUUGUUCUGUCGGUUUGUGUCCCUUUUGUCGCCCUGAGUGAGCGGACUCGCCGGGAGUUUGAGGAACUGAAGCGGGCUUUCCACAUGGUCCAACCACUGGCGUGAAAGUUGACUUCUGCAGAAAACAAGAACAGGUGCCAGUGAUGAUGGUGGAAUCGGCCUCUGAGACCAUUCGAACCGCGCCGUCCAACCAGAACGGAGUCAGCAGCCUCAGCAGCCAAUCAGACGGAGGGGAGGCAGAGAGGGCGGGUCUAAUGGGGACACCAAUGGAGAGAUCAGCCCAGUUGAUCUACUGCACCUGCAACAGCAACAGGCGCUGCAGGCUGCUAGACAGUUCCUCCUCCAGCAGGCCUCUGGACUCAAUUCUCCAAGCAGCAAUGAGGUCAAACAGAGCCAGUGCAGGU
This is a long non-coding RNA of Osmerus eperlanus (European smelt), 780 nucleotides long. RefSeq lists it as uncharacterized. The record is from RefSeq and is a predicted model, not a curated record. The transcript is spliced from 3 exons. Lineage: Eukaryota; Metazoa; Chordata; Actinopteri; Osmeriformes; Osmeridae.